ACUCGAAUAAAGGUUCCGCGAGCGCACCUGCUCUCAAUUAAAGGGCUCUCAUUUAUUAAAGAUCUUAAAAAUUACUUGGUAGUGUUACCUAUUCGUGUUUGAUCUUGGACUAGAGAUAAAUUUUGAGAAGAAUAUGCAAAGUAAAGCAUCUAAAAUCAUUUAACGGUCGAUGAUCGCAACUCAGCGCCACAUCACCUUAAAUAUAAGAAAAAGCCGCUCCGUGUCGCUGCUGCUUUCUGCCGCUGCCCUUCAUAUGAAACCCAAUCCUACCGGGGAGGAAGAAACUCCGCGUAGAGAUCACACAAGGCAAACAUCAACUUAUUUCAUUAUCGCUCUGCGCGGGGGGAGGACACAGAGGAGGAAGCAAUUCCUUAGUGGGAUUUACAGCGACAAACCAAUAGAUGAUUUUUUUUUUUUUUUUU
This is a long non-coding RNA of Cyprinodon tularosa, 422 nucleotides long. RefSeq lists it as uncharacterized. The transcript has 2 exons. The record is from RefSeq and is a predicted model, not a curated record. NCBI's taxonomy places the organism in Eukaryota, Metazoa, Chordata, Actinopteri, Cyprinodontiformes, Cyprinodontidae.